RNAcentral lists this ribosomal RNA (427 nucleotides) under uncultured bacterium. RNAcentral's name for it is "partial 16S ribosomal RNA". It matches the Rfam family "Bacterial small subunit ribosomal RNA", at positions 355 to 774 of the family's 1533-position model. The record is from RNAcentral.
UGGGGAAUAUUGCACAAUGGGCGCAAGCCUGAUGCAGCCAUGCCGCGUGUAUGAAGAAGGCCUUCGGGUUGUAAAGUACUUUCAGCGGGGAGGAAGGUGUUGAGGUUAAUAACCUCAGCAAUUGACGUUACCCGCAGAAGAAGCACCGGCUAACUCCGUGCCAGCAGCCGCGGUAAUACGGAGGGUGCAAACGUUAAUCGGAAUUACUGGGCGUAAAGCGCACGCAGGCGGUCUGUCAAGUCGGAUGUGAAAUCCCCGGGCUCAACCUGGGAACUGCAUUCGAAACUGGCAGGCUAGAGUCUUGUAGAGGGGGGUAGAAUUCCAGGUGUAGCGGUGAAAUGCGUAGAGAUCUGGAGGAAUACCGGUGGCGAAGGCGGCCCCCUGGACAAAGACUGACGCUCAGGUGCGAAAGCGUGGGGAGCAAACA